UUUCCGUAGGUGAACCUGCGGAAGGAUCAUUACCGAGUGGGGGCCCUCUGGGUCCAACCUCCCACCCGUGUUUAUCGUACCUUGUUGCUUCGGCGGGCCCGCCUCACGGCCGCCGGGGGGCACCCGCCCCCGGGCCCGCGCCCGCCGAAGACACCAUUGAACGCUGUCUGAAGAUUGCAGUCUGAGCAUCUAGCUAAAUCAGUUAAAACUUUCAACAACGGAUCUCUUGGUUCCG
Molecule: unclassified non-coding RNA, 235 nt
Filed under: plant metagenome
Description: partial contains small subunit ribosomal RNA, internal transcribed spacer 1, and 5.8S ribosomal RNA
Source: RNAcentral